GAGUUUGAUCCUGGCUCAGAACGAACGCUGGCGGCGUGUCUUAACACAUGCAAGUCGAACGCGAACGGGUUCUUCGGGACCUUAGUAGAGUGGCGCACGGGUGAGUAACGCGUAAGCCCCUCUACCUCGGCAUCUGGAAUAACUCACCGAAAGGUGAGCUAAUACCGGAUACGUUGGCAACAAGAAAGGUGGCCUCUGAAUAUGCUACCGUGCCGGGAUGAGCUUGCGUACCAUUAGCUAGUAGGUAGGGUAAUGGCCUACCAAGGCGACGAUGGUUAGCGGGUCUGAGAGGAUGAUCCGCCACACUGGAACUGGAACACGGACCAGACUCCUACGGGAGGCAGCAGUGAGGAAUAUUGCGCAAUGGGGGCAACCCUGACGCAGCGACGCCGCGUGGAUGAUGAAGGCCUUCGGGUCGUAAAAUCCUGUCAGUGGAAAGAAGUGCCACGAUGGCUAAUAUCCAUUUUGUUUGACGGUACCGCCGAAGGAGCACCGGCUAACUCCGUGGCCAGCAGCCGCGGUAAUACGGAGGGGGCAAGCGUUGUCGGAAUAACUGGGCCUAAAGCCGCGCCGUAGGCGGGUUUGUUAAGUCAGAUGUGAAAGCCCUCGGCUCAACCGGGGACGUGGCAUUUGAACUGGCCAACUUGAGUACUGGAGGGGGGGGGAAUCCCGUGUGAGGUUGCGAAAGGCGUGGGGAGGCAAACAGGAUAGAUUACCCUUGGAUAGUUCACGCGUAAACCGAUGAAGAGCUAGGUGUUGGGACGUUUAUUCGUCUUCAUUGCCGCAGCUAACGCAUUAAAGUUCUCCGCCUGGGGAGUUACGGUCGCAAGAUUAAAACUCAAAAGGAAUUGACGGGGGCCCGCACAAGCGGUGGAGUAUGUGGUUUAAUUCGACGCAACGCGAAGAACCUUACCUGGUCUUGACAUCCCGGGAAUCUGCUGGAAACAGUGGAGUGCCUCGCAAGAGGAGCCUGGUGACAGGUGCUGCAUGGCUGUCGUCAGCUCGUGUCGUGAGAUGUUGGGUUAAGUCCCGCAACGAGCGCAACCCUUGUCUUUAGUUGCCAGCAUUAAGUUGGGCACUCUGAAGAGACUGCCGGUGUCAAACCGGAGGAAGGUGGGGAUGACGUCAAGUCCUCAUGGCCUUUAUGACCAGGGCUACACACGUACUACAAUGGCAUAUACAGAGGGCAGCGACAUCGCGAGGUGAAGCCAAUCCCUAAACUAUGUCUCAGUCCGGAUUGGAGUCUGCAACUCGACUCCAUGAAGUUGGAAUCGCUAGUAAUCGCGGAUCAGCACGCCGCGGUGAAUACGUUCCCGGGCCUUGUACACACCGCCCGUCACACCACGGGAGUUGGUUGUACCAGAAGCAGUUGAGCCAACCGCAAGGAGGCAGGCUGCCAAGGUAUGGCGAGUAACUGGGGUGAAGUCGUAACAAGGUAGCCCUAGGGGAACCUGCGGCUGGAUCACCUCCUU
This 1472-nucleotide ribosomal RNA is filed under the name uncultured bacterium. RNAcentral describes it as "bacterial SSU rRNA". It matches the Rfam family "Bacterial small subunit ribosomal RNA". The record is from RNAcentral.